RNAcentral lists this unclassified non-coding RNA (1398 nucleotides) under uncultured fungus. Its description in RNAcentral is "sequence contains 18S rRNA gene, ITS1, 5.8S rRNA gene, ITS2, 28S rRNA gene". The stretch from base 471 to 1398 matches the Rfam family "Eukaryotic large subunit ribosomal RNA", at positions 1 to 961 of the family's 3401-position model. Lineage: Eukaryota; Fungi. The record is from RNAcentral.
GGAGGGAUCAUUAAAGGACUCGCAAGACUCCCUUAAACCCCUGUGAACUUACUACAAUACGUUGCUUCGGCGGGUGCUCCGGGUCUCCCGGGGCGCUACGCCCGCCGGCAGCCUGCCAAAUUCUGUUUCUUUGCGUUGGCAUCUCGAGUACAACAAAUAAGUUAAAACUUUCAACAACGGAUCUCUUGGUUCUGGCAUCGAUGAAGAACGCAGCGAAAUGCGAUAAGUAAUGCGAAUUGCAGAAUUCCGUGAGUCAUCGAAUCUUUGAACGCACAUUGCGCCCGCCAGUAUUCUGGCGGGCAUGCCUGUUCGAGCGUCAUUGCAACCCUCAGGCCCUGCCUGGCGUUGGAGGACUGCGCUGCAGCCUCCCAAAGCAAGCGGCGGCGGCGCCCCAAAACCGAACGCAGUAAUUUUCUCUCGUUCAGGGUGUGGGACGUUGUCCGGCCGGAAAACCCCCUUCUUUUAGUGGUUGACCUCGAAUCAGGUAGGAAUACCCGCUGAACUUAAGCAUAUCAAUAAGCGGAGGAAAAGAAACCAACAGGGAUUGCCCCAGUAACGGCGAGUGAAGCGGCAACAGCUCAAAUUUGAAAUCUGGCCUUCUGGUCCGAGUUGUAAUUUGCAGAGGAUGCUUCGGGUGAGGUGCCUUCCAAGUCCCCUGGAACGGGGCGCCGAAGAGGGUGAGAGCCCCGUACGGUUGGCGGCCGAGCCUGUGUGAAGCUCCUUCGACGAGUCGAGUAGUUUGGGAAUGCUGCUCUAAGCGGGAGGUAGACCCCUUCUAAAGCUAAAUAUUGGCCAGAGACCGAUAGCGCACAAGUAGAGUGAUCGAAAGAUGAAAAGCACUUUGAAAAGAGGGUUAAAUAGCACGUGAAAUUGUUGAAAGGGAAGCGCUUGUGACCAGACGUGCGCCGGGGUGUUCAGCGGGCGUUCUCGCCUGUGCACUCGCCUCGGCGCAGGCCAGCGUCGGUUCGAGCGGGGGGAUAAAGGCGUCUGGAAUGUGGCUCCCCCGGGAGUGUUAUAGCCAGGCGUGCCAUGCCCCCGCCCGGACCGAGGUACGCGUUCUGCAAGGACGCUGGCGUAAUGGUCCCCAGCGACCCGUCUUGAAACACGGACCAAGGAGUCGAGGUUUUGCGCGAGUGUUUGGGUGUCAAACCCGCACGCGUAAUGAAAGUGAACGUAGGUGGGAGCUUCGGCGCACCACCGACCGAUCCUGAUGUUUUCGGAUGGAUUUGAGUAAGAGCGUAGGGCCUCGGACCCGAAAGAUGGUGAACUAUGCUUGGAUAGGGUGAAGCCAGAGGAAACUCUGGUGGAGGCUCGCAGCGGUUCUGACGUGCAAAUCGAUCGUCAAAUCUGAGCAUGGGGGCGAAAGACUAAUCGAACCAUCUAGUAGCUGGUUACCGC